GGAUGUGAGGGCGAUCUGGCUGCGACAUCUGUCACCCCACUGAUUGCCAGGCUUGAUUCAGCUGAUCUGGCUGGCUAGGCGGGUGUCCCCUUCCUCCUCUCCAUGUGCAUCCCUCCCGAAGCUGCGUGCUCGGUCGAAGAGGACGACCAUCCCCGAGAGAGGAGGACCGGUCUUCGGUCAAGGGUAUACGAGUAGCUGCGCUCCCCUGCUAGAACCUCCAAACAAGCUCUCAAGAAAGCUUGUUAAUAUUUUAACUGCAAUAUACUGUUUCCCUAAGAUAAAUAACCAAAAAUAUCAAGUAUGUCCUACUGGAUUAU
Unclassified non-coding RNA from Dipodomys ordii (Ord's kangaroo rat), 317 nucleotides. Its record names the gene 7SK. It matches the Rfam family "7SK RNA". Rfam says of the family: 7SK was discovered as an abundant small nuclear RNA in the mid-70s but a possible function has only recently been suggested. Lineage: Eukaryota; Metazoa; Chordata; Mammalia; Rodentia; Heteromyidae. The record is from Ensembl.